RNAcentral lists this ribosomal RNA (608 nucleotides) under uncultured soil bacterium. RNAcentral describes it as "bacterial SSU rRNA". It matches the Rfam family "Bacterial small subunit ribosomal RNA", at positions 224 to 823 of the family's 1533-position model. The record is from RNAcentral.
GAGGAGCCCGCGUCCGAUUAGCUAGUUGGUGGGGUAAUGGCCUACCAAGGCGACGAUCGGUAGCCGGCCUGAGAGGGCGGACGGCCACACUGGAACUGAGACACGGUCCAGACUCCUACGGGAGGCAGCAGUGGGGAAUUGUUCACAAUGGGCGCAAGCCUGAUGACGCAACGCCGCGUGGGGGAUGAAGGUCUUCGGAUUGUAAACCCCUGUCGAGCGGGACGAAUGGCCCGCGCUUUAACAUGGCGCGGGAAUGACGGUACCGCUAAAGGAAGCCACGGCUAACUCUGUGCCAGCAGCCGCGGUAAUACAGAGGUGGCAAGCGUUGUUCGGAAUUACUGGGCGUAAAGGGCGCGUAGGCGGCCAUCUAAGUCAGACGUGAAAUCCCCCGGCUUAACCUGGGAACUGCGUCUGAUACUGGACGGCUCGAGUUUGGGAGAGGGAUGCAGAAUUCCAGGUGUAGCGGUGAAAUGCGUAGAUAUCUGGAGGAAUACCGGUGGCGAAGGCGGCAUCCUGGACUAACACUGACGCUGAGGCGCGAAAGCUAGGGGAGCAAACGGGAUUAGAUACCCCGGUAGUCCUAGCCCUAAACGAUGAAUGCUUGGUGU